Molecule: ribosomal RNA, 480 nt
Filed under: uncultured bacterium
Lineage: Bacteria
Description: partial 16S ribosomal RNA
Rfam family: Bacterial small subunit ribosomal RNA
Source: RNAcentral
GAUGAACGCUGGCGGCGUGCUUAACACAUGCAAGUCGAACGGAACUACUCCAAUGCGAGUCCUCGGAAAGGAUUAGGUCUAGUUUAGUGGCGGACGGGUGAGUAACGCGUGGGUAACCUGCCCUAUACAAGGGGAUAACAGUUGGAAACGACUGUUAAUACCGCAUAAGCGCACAGGAGCGCAUGCUCCGGUGUGAAAAACUCCGGUGGUAUAGGAUGGCCCCGCGUCUUAUUAGCUGGGGGGAGGGGUAACGCCACACUGAGGAGACGAUAAGGAGCCGGCGAGAGAGGGUGAACGGACACAGUGGGACUGAGACACGGCAGAAACUCAUACGGGAGGGAGGAGGGGGGAAUAUUGCAAAAGGGGGGAGACUGUGAUGCAGCGACGGCGCGUGAGCGAAGGAGUAUCGCGGUAUGUAAAGCUCUAUCAGCAGAGGAGAAAAUGACGGUACCUGACUAAGAAGCCCCGGCUAACUACGUG